CAUGUUCCCUCUCUGUUCUGUGGCGUGUGGUUUUGUCUAGAGAUAUCGAAGUAAUCACCUUAUAUGUCGAACUGGACAUCCGGUUAUAGUGAGGAUCAUAACCUAAUAAACUCGCUGUGUCGGUAAGAGUGUAAUUUAUACAGUGAGAUGGCACACAAAUUUCAAGGCGACUGCAUUGAAUUUGAAUCAAGAAAGUGUAAUCUCAAUAGGCAUAUCCCUGCCUGAAGAUAGGAUGUAUGUAGCCUGUUGGAUCGAGUGCCCUUAACCAUCACAUCGUGCUUGAAACUGUCAAAGAUUUGUGAGGGAGUGCAACCGCUUCAAGCAGAUGUUACCACAGCAAUUUCAGUGUUCAUGAAAAAUGCAGCUACAAAUUUCACGUUGUAAUCUACGUCAGGAUACUUGCGCCGAUCACAGGGGCUGUGCGGUCUAAGGCGUGACCCGUUUUCGCCGCUCGAACGCCGG
Cryptotermes secundus is the source of this 462-nucleotide long non-coding RNA. RefSeq lists it as uncharacterized. The transcript is spliced from 4 exons. The record is from RefSeq and is a predicted model, not a curated record. Lineage: Eukaryota; Metazoa; Arthropoda; Insecta; Blattodea; Kalotermitidae.